Molecule: ribosomal RNA, 630 nt
Filed under: Filobasidium chernovii
Lineage: Eukaryota; Fungi; Basidiomycota; Tremellomycetes; Filobasidiales; Filobasidiaceae
Description: eukaryotic LSU rRNA
Rfam family: Eukaryotic large subunit ribosomal RNA
Source: RNAcentral
UAAGCGGAGGAAAAGAAACUAACAAGGAUUCCCCUAGUAACGGCGAGUGAAGCGGGAAGAGCUCAAAUUUGAAAUCUGGUGGCCUCAGGUCAUCCGAGUUGUAAUCUAUAGAAGUGUUUUCCGUGCUGGCUCAUGUACAAGUCCCUUGGAACAGGGCGUCAUAGAGGGUGAGAAUCCCGUCCUUGACAUGAACUACCAGUGCUCUGUGAUACAUUUUCAACGAGUCGAGUUGUUUGGGAAUGCAGCUCAAAAUGGGUGGUAAAUUCCAUCUAAAGCUAAAUAUUGGCGAGAGACCGAUAGCGAACAAGUACCGUGAGGGAAAGAUGAAAAGCACUUUGGAAAGAGAGUUAAACAGUAUGUGAAAUUGUUAAAAGGGAAACGAUUGAAGUCAGUCGUGCUCUUUGGAUUCAGCCGGUUCUGCCGGUGUACUUCCUUUGAGUGGGGUCAACAUCAGUUUUGAUCGCUGGAUAAAGGCUGGAGGAACGUAGCACCCUCGGGUGAACUUAUAGCCUCCUGUCACAUACAGUGGUUGGGACUGAGGAACGCAGCACGCCUUUAUGGCCGGGAUUCGUCCACGUACGUGCUUAGGAUGUUGACAUAAUGGCUUUAAACGACCCGUCUUGAAACACG